CUAUGGUAUGUGUUAGAGGGAUUCAGUAGGUCUAUGGUAUGUGUUAGAGGGAUUCAGUAGGUCUAUGGUAUGUGUUAGAGGGAUUCAGUAGGCCUAUGGUAUGUGUUAGAGGGUAGGUCUAUGGUAUGUGUUAGAGGGAUUCAGUAGGUCUAUGGUAUGUGUUAGAGGGAUUCAGUAGGCCUAUGGUAUGUGUUAGAGGGAUUCAGUAGGUCUAUGGUAUGUGUUAGAGGGAUUCAGUAGGUCUAUGGUAUGUGUUAGAGGGAUUCAGUAGGUCUAUG
Long non-coding RNA from Salvelinus fontinalis (brook trout), 278 nucleotides. RefSeq lists it as uncharacterized. NCBI's taxonomy places the organism in Eukaryota, Metazoa, Chordata, Actinopteri, Salmoniformes, Salmonidae. The transcript is spliced from 4 exons. The record is from RefSeq and is a predicted model, not a curated record.